Molecule: ribosomal RNA, 474 nt
Filed under: uncultured bacterium
Lineage: Bacteria
Description: bacterial SSU rRNA
Rfam family: Bacterial small subunit ribosomal RNA
Source: RNAcentral
ACUCCUACGGGAGGCAGCAGUGGGGAAUAUUGCACAAUGGGCGCAAGCCUGAUGCAGCCAUGCCGCGUGUAUGAAGAAGGCCUUCGGGUUGUAAAGUACUUUCAGCAGUGAGGAAGGUGGUGCAGUUAAUAGCUGUAUCAUUUGACGUUAGCUGCAGAAGAAGCACCGGCUAACUCCGUGCCAGCAGCCGCGGUAAUACGGAGGGUGCGAGCGUUAAUCGGAAUUACUGGGCGUAAAGCGCAUGCAGGUGGUUUGUUAAGUCAGAUGUGAAAGCCCGGGGCUCAACCUCGGAAUUGCAUUUGAAACUGGCAGACUAGAGUACUGUAGAGGGGGGUAGAAUUUCAGGUGUAGCGGUGAAAUGCGUAGAGAUCUGAAGGAAUACCGGUGGCGAAGGCGGCCCCCUGGACAGAUACUGACACUCAGAUGCGAAAGGCUGGGGGAGCAAACAGGAUUAGAUACCCUGGUAGGAUAGCG